This 1484-nucleotide ribosomal RNA is filed under the name Limosilactobacillus fermentum. RNAcentral's name for it is "bacterial SSU rRNA". It matches the Rfam family "Bacterial small subunit ribosomal RNA". Lineage: Bacteria; Bacillati; Bacillota; Bacilli; Lactobacillales; Lactobacillaceae. The record is from RNAcentral.
GCCGGCGGUGUGCCUAAUACAUGCAAGUCGAACGCGUUGGCCCAAUUGAUUGAUGGUGCUUGCACCUGAUUGAUUUUGGUCGCCAACGAGUGGCGGACGGGUGAGUAACACGUAGGUAACCUGCCCAGAAGCGGGGGACAACAUUUGGAAACAGAUGCUAAUACCGCAUAACAGCGUUGUUCGCAUGAACAACGCUUAAAAGAUGGCUUCUCGCUAUCACUUCUGGAUGGACCUGCGGUGCAUUAGCUUGUUGGUGGGGUAACGGCCUACCAAGGCGAUGAUGCAUAGCCGAGUUGAGAGACUGAUCGGCCACAAUGGGACUGAGACACGGCCCAUACUCCUACGGGAGGCAGCAGUAGGGAAUCUUCCACAAUGGGCGCAAGCCUGAUGGAGCAACACCGCGUGAGUGAAGAAGGGUUUCGGCUCGUAAAGCUCUGUUGUUAAAGAAGAACACGUAUGAGAGUAACUGUUCAUACGUUGACGGUAUUUAACCAGAAAGUCACGGCUAACUACGUGCCAGCAGCCGCGGUAAUACGUAGGUGGCAAGCGUUAUCCGGAUUUAUUGGGCGUAAAGAGAGUGCAGGCGGUUUUCUAAGUCUGAUGUGAAAGCCUUCGGCUUAACCGGAGAAGUGCAUCGGAAACUGGAUAACUUGAGUGCAGAAGAGGGUAGUGGAACUCCAUGUGUAGCGGUGGAAUGCGUAGAUAUAUGGAAGAACACCAGUGGCGAAGGCGGCUACCUGGUCUGCAACUGACGCUGAGACUCGAAAGCAUGGGUAGCGAACAGGAUUAGAUACCCUGGUAGUCCAUGCCGUAAACGAUGAGUGCUAGGUGUUGGAGGGUUUCCGCCCUUCAGUGCCGGAGCUAACGCAUUAAGCACUCCGCCUGGGGAGUACGACCGCAAGGUUGAAACUCAAAGGAAUUGACGGGGGCCCGCACAAGCGGUGGAGCAUGUGGUUUAAUUCGAAGCUACGCGAAGAACCUUACCAGGUCUUGACAUCUUGCGCCAACCCUAGAGAUAGGGCGUUUCCUUCGGGAACGCAAUGACAGGUGGUGCAUGGUCGUCGUCAGCUCGUGUCGUGAGAUGUUGGGUUAAGUCCCGCAACGAGCGCAACCCUUGUUACUAGUUGCCAGCAUUAAGUUGGGCACUCUAGUGAGACUGCCGGUGACAAACCGGAGGAAGGUGGGGACGACGUCAGAUCAUCAUGCCCCUUAUGACCUGGGCUACACACGUGCUACAAUGGACGGUACAACGAGUCGCGAACUCGCGAGGGCAAGCAAAUCUCUUAAAACCGUUCUCAGUUCGGACUGCAGGCUGCAACUCGCCUGCACGAAGUCGGAAUCGCUAGUAAUCGCGGAUCAGCAUGCCGCGGUGAAUACGUUCCCGGGCCUUGUACACACCGCCCGUCACACCAUGAGAGUUUGUAACACCCAAAGUCGGUGGGGUAACCUUUUAGGAGCCAGCCGCCUAAGGUGGACAGAUGAUA